AUAUGGGCGGCCUCAAAGUGAUCGCGAAGGAACAAUAAGAAGAUGCGAAUUCUCUGCACGAACGACGACGGCAUUCACGCGCCGGGCCUCAAGGUCAUCGAAGAAAUCGCGCAGCAACUGUCCGACGNNNNNNNNGUUGCGCCUGAGCUCGAUCAGUCCGGCGUCUCGCACUCACUGUCGCUGAACGAUCCGCUGCGUUUGCGCGAAGUCGGCCCGCGCCACUUCGCGGUGCGCGGCACGCCGACCGACUGCAUCAUCAU
RNAcentral lists this unclassified non-coding RNA (260 nucleotides) under Hevea brasiliensis (rubber tree). The record is from RNAcentral. Lineage: Eukaryota; Viridiplantae; Streptophyta; Magnoliopsida; Malpighiales; Euphorbiaceae.